This 472-nucleotide ribosomal RNA is filed under the name uncultured Scutellospora. Its description in RNAcentral is "SSU rRNA". It matches the Rfam family "Eukaryotic small subunit ribosomal RNA", at positions 569 to 1047 of the family's 1831-position model. Lineage: Eukaryota; Fungi; Glomeromycota; Glomeromycetes; Diversisporales; Gigasporaceae. The record is from RNAcentral.
AGCAGCCGCGGUAAUUCCAGCUCCAAUAGCGUAUAUUAAAGUUGUUGCAGUUAGAAAGCUCGUAGUUGAAUUUCGGGGUUCUACCGUUGGUCGGGCUUUGUCUGUACUGGCGUGUAGAAUUUCUACCUUCUGGGGAACCAUCAUGUUAUUAAUUUAACGUGGUGGGAAACCAGGACCUUUACCUUGAAAAAAUUAGAGUGUUCAAAAGCAGGCUUAUGUCUGAAUACAUUAGCAUGGAAUAAUAGAAUAGGACGGUGGUCCUGUUUUGUUGGUUUCUGAAUCACCGUAAUGAUUAAUAGGGAUAGUUGGGGGCAUUAGUAUUCAAUUGUCAGAGGUGAAAUUCUUGGAUUUAUUGAAGACUAACUUCUGCGAAAGCAUUUGCCAAGGAUGUUUUCAUUAAUCAAGAACGAAAGUUAGGGGAUCGAAGACGAAUCAGAUACCGUCGUAGUCUUAACCAUAAACUAUGCCGACU